Molecule: unclassified non-coding RNA, 376 nt
Filed under: uncultured Gaiellales bacterium
Lineage: Bacteria; Bacillati; Actinomycetota; Thermoleophilia; Gaiellales
Description: contains 16S-23S intergenic spacer region
Source: RNAcentral
UCCGGUUUGUCACCGGCAGUCUCCUAUGAGUCCCCGACAUAACUCGCUGGCAACAUAGGACAGGGGUUGCGCUCGUUGCGGGACUUAACGCAACAUCUCACGACACGAGCUGACGACAGCCAUGCACCACCUGUGCACGAGCCCCGAAGGGCUGCCGUGUUUCCACGACAUUCCCGUGCAUGUCAAGCCUUGGUAAGGUUCUUCGCGUCGCGUCGAAUUAAACAACAUGCUCCGCUGCUUGUGCGGGUCCCCGUCAAUUCCUUUGAGUUUAAGCCUUGCGGCCGUACUCCCCAGGCGGUCAACUUCACGCGUUAGCUUCGUUACCAAGGAAUUACUUCCCCGACAACCAGUUGACAUCGUUUAGGGCGUGGACUAC